AUGUAUAUUACCAGUAUAUAUGAUACUAUAAAUAUCAAUAUUCUUCUGUAUUUAAUGGUAAACCAAGUUAAAUUUAAAAUGUGAAAUUUACUUAUUUUCACAUACCAGUAAUUUGUAUGAUGAACUGGAAGAAAUAUUAUGGUGAUAGAUGUGAUGUCACAACUUUUUCACAUGAAAACAAUUAUGUUUCACUCUACAUGAAACCAUGUUUCUCUAAAUGGAACUUUUUUGCUCGGAAAGGUGCCAACAUAUGUUUCACACUAGGGCUCAUGGGCAUUAAAUUGGAGAGAAAUAAUAAUAAAUAUAUCAACAUAAUGGGUUGUUUGGAAAGUUCGUGCCGAUUUUGAAGGAAAAUUGAAACUGUAGGAUAUUUAAAUUUUAGUAUAUAUUUAUUAAAUUAUAUAAGUGACAUUCUGUUCUACAAUCUUU
This 429-nucleotide long non-coding RNA is filed under the name Androctonus crassicauda. The record is from RNAcentral. Lineage: Eukaryota; Metazoa; Arthropoda; Arachnida; Scorpiones; Buthidae.